Opisthorchis viverrini is the source of this 107-nucleotide non-coding RNA. The record is from Rfam. NCBI's taxonomy places the organism in Eukaryota, Metazoa, Platyhelminthes, Trematoda, Opisthorchiida, Opisthorchiidae.
GUAGAUCUGACGGCGGUACACAUACUACAAUUGGAAUGAUACAGAGAAGAUUAGCAUGACCCCUGCGCAAGGAUGACACGCAAAAUCGUGAAGCGUUCCAUAUUCAU